This is a long non-coding RNA of Sapajus apella (tufted capuchin), 4620 nucleotides long. RefSeq lists it as uncharacterized. The record is from RefSeq and is a predicted model, not a curated record. NCBI's taxonomy places the organism in Eukaryota, Metazoa, Chordata, Mammalia, Primates, Cebidae. The transcript has 2 exons.
ACCAUUUUUGGAGGUCAGAGAAAUGGCAGGGGUGUUGACAGUUGAAUUUCUCCCUAGGACAUAAAAGAUGUUUAAGAGACAAAUUGGGGGCAUUCAAAUAAAAAUAAAAUGGUAUCUAGUUCACUAAGUGGGCUUGUUUACUUAACAAGAGUAUUCUUGAUGUGGACAGUUUAAAAUGAUUGAGAGAGAGAAGAUUUGGUAGUUACCAUACCAAUCCGCUCUGACAACGUUGAAUUUCACUUCAUUUAUUUAACUAUUUGAAAAGAAAUGUAUUUCACUUAGGAAUCUGUUCAUGUCAAAUUUGCAUCUCCUAUAGGGGUAUUUUGAGGGGAUGGGAAGAGAGGCGCAUGUGUCUCACGCAUUUUCUUACAGCGGUUUUGCAGAGGCUUACUGGAGCUUUUGAAAAUAAAAAAGUUUAGAAUGUGAAAUUGUUGGAGACUACAGAGGAAGGGGAAAGGAGGAGUAGAUUUAUAGCUGAAGUGGGUUUGUAAACUCAGCCUCUGCUUUGGGAUUAUUCUUUAAUAAGUGCCACACAUUCUUCUGAUUUUCAUCCUGGCUUCAUUGUGGCUCUUUCUCUGUCUGUGUGAGGCUGGGGUGUUCCCUGUUUUAAAGCCGUAGCUGUCGCAGCCUGGGCGUUUUCUGUUUCUGCUUAUGGCUUUUUUUUUUCUCUUUUCCUGAAUGAGUGUCCUUUGUGUAACCCCAGUAAUUCAGAAAUCCUGCAGUCAUAGGGACUGCCCUGUCAUGUGACUUAGGUACUAGGUGCUGGCUGCGAUUGGUCAGCAGCUAAUUGGCGGGUCCCUAUAAGAGGUCUUGUUGGGUCCAGCGUCUGGCCACUCUCCUGCCUGGGCUGCUGCUCAACGGAGGCUGGAUGGGGGGGGGUUCUGACCAGUGAUUCAGCCACUUGGGAUAGAUUGACUAAGUGACUGCUUUCUUGGGGUCUGCAGACCCGUGGAAGACACUCAAAGUGGUUGUGACCGACUUGAUCCAACUCUGGGCUUCCUGAACUGGAAUGAAAUGCAGAUAACUCUUAGAAAACUUUUGUAGGAAAAGUGCCUCGUGUGAUCUGGAACAAAGACGUUUUAUAAUCAGAUUUAUCAAGCUCCGAAGAGGGAGUUUUAAUGAACGGAAGCAGCAGCAUUCUGUCACCAGGAAAUACUGCUUUAUCCAGUAUUGGUAAGUGAAAAGUGGCAUUGCUCCCUAAUAGAUAUCAUAUGUGCAUGUGGGAAUUGAAAAGUUGUUCACAGACCCCUAACAACGGUGUUGAACAGAGAACACAUAAACAGUGAGAAGGUCUAAAGAGCAGCAGAGAAUACCGCAUAAAGACUGAGAAACAGCCAGGUAAUUAACAAAAAUGAGCUGAGUGCUAUCAGUUUAGCUCAACAUAGGUAAUACAGCUAGAUUUGGUUGUUUUAUUUUUUCUUGUUUAGUGGAGGAGAAACAAAAUCAGAAUGGGCUGUUUAGUAGAGUUGCGACAUUAACUUUCCAUGGAUGUAGAUUUCCAUUUAGUCUGAUGUAGCAUGUGUGAAAUUUGAAGAGAUGAUUUCAGAAUUAGUCUACUUGCCCUCCUUUCCUUUCCUCUACAUUAGGAUGUCAAGUAUUCAGUUAGAACUUUACAAGAUAAAAGUUAUACAAAAUGAAAGUUCAAGUAAUGCAUCGGAAACACUUCCUCCUGAUUGGGAAGGAUAGAUUACAAUGGCAGUAGAUUUUUUUUUUUUAAACAUUUGUGUCAUGAAUUUUAAGUUUGUUCUACCUGAUUACAUUAGUACAGCAAAGGGUGAUUAUUUCUAUCUGUAUAGUUCAUAACUUUUUGAGAGAUCGUGAUUAGUAGUUCUUACUGGUUUGGUAUGCAUGUGCCUGCCUGUCUCUGUUUCCCUGAAAUCUUAAAUUCCGUUUUCUAAUCUUGAAUCUGAGCUGCCUCUAUGUUUAAGGGUUCUAGAAAAAGACAAUAAAGCUUUGAAUAUCUGCGUUAUAUACAACAGGUUCUUGUUCAUGAUGUAUAAGGUAAAACAAUUUUAUAUUAGGCAUGAAUGUCUAGUUUCUUGAUUUGGUUUCUUAAGAAUGUACCGAAAAGGUUGAACCGAGUAAGAAAAAGAACAUUAGAAUAGAAUGGUGGGUGACUGCCUGAUUUUACCAGUUUCUUAUUGGUCAACAGAAGUAAUCAUGUGAUGUCUACUUACAGAACCAGAUGGAAAAAAUUUUUGUUCUUUAAAUGCUAACAAUUAUAUAGGCAAUUUUAGUGAUCUUCAUUUAUUAAUUUGAAUAUAUAAUUGUAACUGUUAUUAACAGAAUGGGGUAAUUUAGAAAAUAAUAAUUCUUUCUUUUUAAGCUAAAUUGGAAAUUGAAUCUACUUCUGUGACUUUUGGUUCCUGUUCUGUUACUUUCAAAAUCUUAAAAUCCUUAACUCAAAAGGGAAAAUAUAUAAUAAAACAGGAUAGCAGUGCUGAAAUUUCUCUCUCUUAGCAGUGGAGGGCUAUGAAGGUGGGAGAAGGAGAUGAAUCUAGUGAGAUAUAUUAAUUGUUUUUCUCCCCCUCUUGUAUACUUGGAUGAAUUUUAAGAUCAUUUUUCUCAGACUAGCAGCUCUCAAGACUUUUGCAUAAGUAUUCUUAAAGAAAUAGAAAGACAAGAUAAGCACGGCUCUUAAGGGCAGGUCCUCCAACAAGUCAGGAAAUUGGUGAUCCAAACUCGUGAAUAUAACAAGUCAGUUUGAUUUAAUUAAGAUGUGGCAUUAGUUUUCUUGAAGCACACAAAUUUAUAGGUUUUUAGAGUCUUGAAGACAGAAAAAUGGCAACAAAGCAUUUAGGUAUUUACAGGUAAUGUAUAUUCAACUGCUAGCUUCUGUUUUCAACUCUGUAUUUCAUGUAAGUAAAUACUUGGGGAGAACAUGGUGAUUUAAUAAUCUGGGUAAAUACUGCUGUGCCUGUUGGAAAAAAGCCUCUCGUUUUUAGGUUUUCCUCAUCCAAUUUUGAAUGACAAAAUGUGUUAGAAGCAGGUUGGAAUAGUAAAUGCUAGAAAGUAUAUCCCAUAAAGAUUAUCUGAGAACUUCAUGUUUUCAAUUCUCUUUGCUGUUCUCUGUUCUCAAUUUAUUAACCUGUAAAAGUACAUCGAAAAUGAAUAACGUUGCUUGCUCUGAUUUCUCCUCUGGGGUCGUUGAGAGUCUUCACAUUUUUGUAUACCCUGUUAAAAGAUAAUAAUGACAUGCAUAUGCCUUUGUGUUUGUGGGUAUGUAAAGCAACAAACGAAGGGAUCUAGUUAAGUGACAGACUUCAAAACAAUUUCUCUGAAAUAGUAUUUGAAUGUGCAUAUUUGGGAACGUAAGUGCUUUCCCUUUGGGCUUGUUUCUUAAGUUUUUGGUGUAGUACACGGUUUUACCCAAUUAAAUUUUUCUUUUGAGGUCUGUGUAUGUAUGGGUGUAUGUAUUUGAUUUGAAGGGGAAGUUUUAAUCACUAGCGAAACAAGUGGCUGUUUGUUAGAACCCAGAUAAGCCUCAUAGUGUUGUUCCUAUGACAACUGAGUAGUUGGGUGUUGAAAUGUAGCUUUAAGUUCUUGGUUUGGAAAUGUCAUUCAGACCUCCCACUAUAGUCUCAGUGAGUAGGAGGAUAAUGAGAAGGGAGAAAACCAUGAAGCAACAUAAGUAUCUUCGUUCAUUUCAUGUCUUCCUAACUUGUCUUUGUGUACAGGAUCGCCAUGGGAGUGGUAAACACAGGUCUUGAACAAAGCAAUACUUCAAUAAAAAAUACAUGGAAAGGGGUCAGAAAAGUUGGGGAAGAUAAAUAACAACACAUGGGCCCAAUAAAGAGGCAGGAGACAUUGGCUUCUAUGGGUUUGUGCAAAUCCUUUACCCAGUACUGACCAGCAGUGAGAACAUCUUGAACCAGUUAUUGUAUAGCUCUUCAAGAGCUGUGAAUUUCCUUAAAAUGCAAUGUGGAGAAAAUUCCUUUGGUAGCAGGAUGGUUUACCACUUUGGCAUAACAUUUAUUCAUCUCCCCCGGGCAGACUACAGAGGAUACUGUGUUCUUUAAGGCACAAGUUUUUAAAGCAGUUGUUCAUUUGUCGUUUAAUAGCUUUUGUCUUUUUUCUAUGGGAACAGCAAGGUCGUACUAUUAAAAUAGUGAUAAAAUUUAAGCAUUUUAUAGUAUAUUCAAAAAGUGCUUUUGUAAAGUACUUAAAAAAAGAUUGAGACUUGUUUGUGGAAACUGUUUGUGGAUGGAGAAUUUAUGGAGCACUGUAUUUGAGGAGAGGGAUUGUUUAAUAUUUGACAUAGCUUAAUUAUGUAGUUGUUGAUUUUCCAUGUCUGAAGCUCUUCCGAUUUCCUACUCCUAAAUGGUUUUAACUAUUUAUUUGGUCACUAGAACCUCUUGAAGUUAGAAAGGAAAAGAUUUCAGUGGGGUUAGUCCCUUACUUAAUAAAUAGAUGUCCCCCAUCUCUUCCGUAAUCCAAAAAACUCUGAAAAUCAAAAGAUUUUCAGGUAACAAAUUUGGCAGCAAAUCCUGAACCGAUGUGAAGCUAAUGAUAUUCAUUGUUUAGCUCACUCAGAAUGAAUCUUUGUAUGUUUUACUGUAGAAUUAUUAAUGUGUUCGAUCAUGGAGUAUAGUUCCAGACUCCCCUAGAGGUUUAUACACU